UAAAAUUAAAAAAUUUGGCGGUAUUUUAGUCUAUUCAGAGGAACCUGUUCUAUAAUCGAUAAUCCACGAUUUAUUUUACUUACUUUAAUAAAUUUAUAUAUCGUCGUUUAGAAUAUUUUAAAAGAAAAAUAAUAUUCGAAAAUUUUAAUAAGAAAAAAUGUCAGAUCAAGGUGUAGUUUAUAAGUAAGAAGAAAUGGGUUACAAUAAAAAUAUUUUUGGAUGAAGAAAUGAAAUUUUCUUUUGAAAUUGGAUUUGAAAGUAAUUUUUUUAAAUUAAGAAAAAUGAUUUGAGCUCUAAAAUAUGCACAUAUCGCCCGUCGCUUUUGUUUUAAGAUGAAAUAAGUCGUAACAAAGUAGGCUUACUGGAAAGUGAGCCUAGAAUG
This 382-nucleotide ribosomal RNA is filed under the name Acanthocnemus sp. NLG-2013. RNAcentral describes it as "partial 12S ribosomal RNA". It matches the Rfam family "Microsporidia small subunit ribosomal RNA", at positions 773 to 1305 of the family's 1311-position model. Lineage: Eukaryota; Metazoa; Arthropoda; Insecta; Coleoptera; Acanthocnemidae. The record is from RNAcentral.